GAUGAACGCUGGCGGCGUGCCUAAUACAUGCAAGUCGAGCGAACAGACGAGGAGCUUGCUCCACUGACGUUAGCGGCGGACGGGUGAGUAAAACGUGGAUAACCUACCUAUAAGACUGGGAUAACUUCGGGAAACCGGAGCUAAUACCGGAUAAUAUAUUGAACCGCAUGGUUCAAUAGUGAAAGACGGUUUUGCUGUCACUUAUAGAUGGAUCCGCGCCGCAUUAGCUAGUUGGUAAGGUAACGGCUUACCAAGGCAACGAUGCGUAGCCGACCUGAGAGGGUGAUCGGCCACACUGGAACUGAGACACGGUCCAGACUCCUACGGGAGGCAGCAGUAGGGAAUCUGCCGCAAUGGGCGAAAGCCUGCCGGAGCGACGCCGCGUGAGUGAUGAAGGUCUUCGGAUCGUAAAACUCUGUUAUUAGGGAAGAACAAAUGUGUAAGUAACUAUGCACGUCUUGACGGUACCUAGUCAGAAAGCCACGGCUAACUACGGG
RNAcentral lists this ribosomal RNA (497 nucleotides) under uncultured bacterium. RNAcentral describes it as "partial 16S ribosomal RNA". It matches the Rfam family "Bacterial small subunit ribosomal RNA", at positions 28 to 507 of the family's 1533-position model. The record is from RNAcentral.